UUGUGUUCCUCUGUUUCCAGCUUGGUGGGAGAGGUGUUUUGGGAUGGCUACAAAAAUUUUGCACUAGUUGAUUGCCGACCAGGAUUUUUUCAUGAAGUGGUUUCAAAAACUCUAGAGGAGGAGAUGAAUGCUGACCAGAAGUGUUUUGAAAUGACUUCAAAAUUUCUCCAAGCGGGGUUGAGUGGUGACCCUCUUUUCCAUUUCUUUCGGUCUCGUGGUCCUAACAACAUCACUCGUUGGAGGAGGCGCUGAGGGAAGCUUAUUGGUUUCCGUGCGGAGUUUUGACCUGAACGGGAAUAUAUUUUACUUCCUUUUAUUUGAAUAUUGUCCCAGAUAAGCGUGGGCUGCUGGACUGCGGCGGCGGCGCUGUGGACGGCGAUGAAAGGUUCAGAGGCGCCCACCCUCUCACCAACGUGAAGUGUACCGUGACGCCAAAACUUAUUGGCAGCCUAAAGAAGCAAUAUAGUUUCCGUGGAACGGGACAUCCACGGCGGCACCUACUCGUACCACCACCACCAUCACCACCACCACCACGAAGCACUGCUGGACAUCAAUGGCAAAAAGUGAAACACUCGCCAAUUUUUUUCUUUCGUUGACUGUUCAGCCUCACAGAAGGGAGGAGUGAGCACAUCAAAGGUCCAUCUAAAUGGAGCAAACUUAAAAAGCCUUUUAGGUAUUUUCUUUCAUCCAAAGCGUUGGUGUCUCAUCUCUGUCUCCUUAUCGCGGAGCCCAUUGUCUGGGGUAAUGGAGGUCUCCGGUGUUCACUUGUCGCAAUAAUGGACCCAAGAAACGUCCUCUGGGCUUCUUAUGCCUGCCGGGUAACGGAGCCUCCUCGCUGCCCUUGACGAGAGGCCGUGCUGCCACCUCAGCUUCCACCAUCGGCCUCAGGAACUCCUUGGCAGAAUCACAGAGGAUCAAGACGCGCGCUAAGAUGACAGCGGGUGUGACGCUGUUUGUUUCGUGCGUGGUGGUGAAGAGGCCUGACAGUCGAGGAUGAACUGUGACGUCAUCCACGUCUGAGACUUCUAAAAAGAUUACAACUGGUCCUAACGAUAUCAGUAAAUGUAUAACAGAUUCAUAAAAGCACGAAUACGGUGAAAGAACAUGAAGUGGCAUGGACGAGGGCGGUGAAAGGGCGAUAGCUCCUUAACGUGACCGUCGAAUACAGCUGCUUCAAGCCCCUAAUACCAGCCAGGUGAACCAGACUCACACAGGCAACACAAAACCCAGAAUAUCGUUCUUUGUAUUCCCAUCGCUGUGCUCCAACAAGACUCUGCAAUACGGAUCGUGGUGCAACACACGCCUGAUGAUAAUGCCCAGCCAGCGAUGAGGCGAGUGAGUGCGCGACGCUACCUGUCAGUGGCACCGGCGAGGUCAGUGCCGGCAACUAGGUCAAAUACGGACAAACAAGUUAGUGCCGCAAUAAAAGUUAGUGCCUGUAAGGGUUCCUAAUUCGAUAAAAGUGUUUUGUAAGCUGAUAAGUGUUAUAGGAGUUAAGCACGCACUCGUAUCGCAGGCUUAUAGUGCGCCAUGCGUGGCCCCGUGCCAGGUAAGCAUUAGGGAAGGCAGGUAAGUCAGGUUAGGGAGCGUUAUGAGCCAAAGCGCAGGAAUCUAGUCAUAGUAUAUUACUGGUGUUGUAGUGUUAACUUUCGCGUUUGAGGUAGUCAUAAGUUUAUCAUCAUUAUCAGCCUAUACAUGGGUGUACUGCAGAACAAAAGAUACAUACUGGUUUUGGGUGUGUUAGCGGGGUUGCCGGUGGGAUCAAAUCUCGCCGGCUUAUGUCCCGCAUCUAUUUUCCGCAAGGUGAACUGAACAGAGGCUACAGCGUGAAAAGAGACAUGACUAAAUUCUCUCCAACAUGCCGAGGAUUCGAACCCAGGAGCUCUCGGUUGCUAGGCUAAAGCUCUAACCGAGCUGUCUAUCUGUGUGUUGAAUAAUGGAAGGUAAAAGCAUCGUGGAAUUUUCGGAGCGCAUAGACGAUUCACGAGAGAAUGAUUUCAUUAGGAAAAUCUGGAAGAACAGAGCAAAUCCACUGUGUCCAAAUCCACUGUGUUCGGAUAAUGAUGUCACGCUGAACCUGGAAUGGUUUCUGGAACGUAGAAUCAAUAAACACCACAACUAUGCAAUGCCUCUCACAAAUCUGGUGAUAUGAAAUCGCCUCCACUCUCUCAAUCAUACCUUGGUGGCGCGAAGUGUCCAGCAUAGACUGCGGACACUCGGAGCACCGUGAUAAUGGAGUAAAUAAUUGCUUCAGCACAAAAUCAACUUUAGUGCAUGACUCUGGUUCAAAUGGACGCCACGGAAACAAGGACAAAAGGUAAUUCUUCAAGCUGAAGGUACAGAAAGUGACAAAAUGAACGUGGGUACUUGACAAACGGGUGGUUUUGUAUGUACUCCCACACAAGCCUUUCCAAACAUGUGCCCUGAUAUGUCAUGUUAUCCCACUGUUGAUCAUGUAAACGGCACUGCAUAUUGUGCUUUUGUGAUACAUGAUUCUGUGUAUGGUAAAGAAUCUGAGUGAUUUAAAAGCCUGAACAACGUCAUGGAAACACUGAGUCACGGGAGUUGGGAAAACAAAAAUAUCUGUAUGAGCAAAAAAUGUUUCUGAUAUGCUGUUUUCUGACGCGUAAAGUUGUCUGACAACUUUUCUCACGGCACACAGCACAAAUGUUCUUGGUUUUCGAAGAAAAUAAAAAGUUGUGAAUUAAGAGUACAAAAUUCUUGCUUUGCAAGCUGAUGAUUUUGAUAUCAAAAUAGGCAGAAAAGAGUGGGUAGUGUCGCCAUGUUACCCUCACUCUCACACAAUGUCCAUAGCAGCGGCACACUCGGCUAUGCUUGUUCAUGUUGAAACCGAACAGCGAUAUUCUGCUUGUAUCACGCAACAUACUACAUUGAUGUCUGACACGCGCUGCUGUUCGAUCAAAUAUGCUCAAGGAAAAAGCGUUAACAUUACAUGAGUUUUUCCUCUUAGUUCACGAAUAUUCUUAGUUGACGAAUUUUUAUAUUCACAUAUUUUUAUGUGCUUGUAUGAAUGUCAUUGCCUCCACAGGGUUCAGAGGUCGCCAGGUGCGACUGUCAUGCCUCCAGGUAAGUCUGGUGAGUAUCGGUUUGUUGAAAGCGCGGUGAGAAAAUCCAGACAAAAAAAAAUAACUGCCGGUUUUCACUGAGAAGAAUUUCCGCGCUUCUCUUUACUGUUUUUUUUUUUUUUUUAUGAUUCUUUGAUUUCUUCUAAGUGAAAAAAAAAAAAAAAAAAAAAAUUCAAGA
Molecule: long non-coding RNA, 3264 nt
Organism: Scylla paramamosain (green mud crab)
Lineage: Eukaryota; Metazoa; Arthropoda; Malacostraca; Decapoda; Portunidae
Exons: 6
Source: RefSeq, a predicted model, not a curated record